This 253-nucleotide ribosomal RNA is filed under the name uncultured bacterium. RNAcentral describes it as "partial 16S ribosomal RNA". It matches the Rfam family "Bacterial small subunit ribosomal RNA", at positions 524 to 776 of the family's 1533-position model. The record is from RNAcentral.
UACAGAGGUCCCAAGCGUUGUUCGGAUUCACUGGGCGUAAAGGGUGCGUAGGCGGUCGGGUAAGUCUGAUGUGAAAUCUCACAGCUUAACUGUGAAACUGCAUUGGAUACUAUUCGGCUUGAGAGUUGGAGGGGGGACUGGAAUUCCUGGUGUAGCGGUGAAAUGCGUAGAUAUCAGGAGGAACACCGGUGGUGUAGACGGCUUACUGGACCAUAACUGACGCUGAGACACGAAAGCGUGGGUAGCAAACAGG